UGGGGGAAAGAAAGCCUGUAGGAUGCUC
This 28-nucleotide non-coding RNA is filed under the name Macaca fascicularis (crab-eating macaque). RNAcentral also lists the same sequence under 1 other name. Lineage: Eukaryota; Metazoa; Chordata; Mammalia; Primates; Cercopithecidae. The record is from RNAcentral.